GUGCUCACUUUGGCAGCACAUAUACUAAAAUUGGAAAGAUACAGAGAUUAGCCUGGUUCUUGCACACGGAUGAUACACGAAUUCAUGAAGUGUUUCAUAUUUUU
Molecule: small nuclear RNA, 104 nt
Organism: Pteronotus mesoamericanus
Lineage: Eukaryota; Metazoa; Chordata; Mammalia; Chiroptera; Mormoopidae
Source: RefSeq, a predicted model, not a curated record